CCUACGGGAGGCUGCAGUGAGGAAUAUUGGUCAAUGGACGAGAGUCUGAACCAGCCAAGUAGCGUGAAGGAUGACUGCCCUAUGGGUUGUAAACUUCUUUUAUAUGGGAAUAAAAUGUUCCACGUGUGGGAUUUUGUAUGUACCAUAUGAAUAAGGAUCGGCUAACUCCGUGCCAGCAGCCGCGGUAAUACGGAGGAUCCGAGCGUUAUCCGGAUUUAUUGGGUUUAAAGGGAGCGUAGGUGGAUUGUUAAGUCAGUUGUGAAAGUUUGCGGCUCAACCGUAAAAUUGCAGUUGAAACUGGCAGUCUUGAGUACAGUAGAGGUGGGCGGAAUUCGUGGUGUAGCGGUGAAAUGCUUAGAUAUGACGAAGAACUCCGAUUGCGAAGGCAGUUCACUGGACUGCAACUGACACUGAGGCUCGAAAGUGUGGGUAUCAAACAGGAUUAGAUACCCGUGUAGUC
This 460-nucleotide ribosomal RNA is filed under the name uncultured bacterium. RNAcentral's name for it is "partial 16S ribosomal RNA". It matches the Rfam family "Bacterial small subunit ribosomal RNA", at positions 338 to 795 of the family's 1533-position model. The record is from RNAcentral.